RNAcentral lists this ribosomal RNA (252 nucleotides) under uncultured bacterium. RNAcentral describes it as "partial 16S ribosomal RNA". It matches the Rfam family "Bacterial small subunit ribosomal RNA", at positions 524 to 776 of the family's 1533-position model. The record is from RNAcentral.
UACGGAGGAUCCAAGCGUUAUCCGGAAUCAUUGGGUUUAAAGGGUCCGUAGGCGGUCUUAUAAGUCAGUGGUGAAAUCUCUCCGCUCAACGGGGAAACGGCCAUUGAUACUGUAGACUUGAAUUAUUGGGAAGUAACUAGAAUAUGUAGUGUAGCGGUGAAAUGCUUAGAUAUUACAUGGAAUACCGAUUGCGAAGGCAGGUUACUAUCAAUACAUUGACGCUGAUGGACGAAAGCGUGGGGAGCGAACAGG